This 459-nucleotide ribosomal RNA is filed under the name Klebsiella pneumoniae. Its description in RNAcentral is "bacterial SSU rRNA". It matches the Rfam family "Bacterial small subunit ribosomal RNA", at positions 1 to 458 of the family's 1533-position model. The record is from RNAcentral. Lineage: Bacteria; Pseudomonadati; Pseudomonadota; Gammaproteobacteria; Enterobacterales; Enterobacteriaceae.
AAAUUGAAGAGUUUGAUCAUGGCUCAGAUUGAACGCUGGCGGCAGGCCUAACACAUGCAAGUCGAGCGGUAGCACAGAGAGCUUGCUCUCGGGUGACGAGCGGCGGACGGGUGAGUAAUGUCUGGGAAACUGCCUGAUGGAGGGGGAUAACUACUGGAAACGGUAGCUAAUACCGCAUAAUGUCGCAAGACCAAAGUGGGGGACCUUCGGGCCUCAUGCCAUCAGAUGUGCCCAGGUGGGAUUAGCUAGUAGGUGGGGUAACGGCUCACCUAGGCGACGAUCCCUAGCUGGUCUGAGAGGAUGACCAGCCACACUGGAACUGAGACACGGUCCAGACUCCUACGGGAGGCAGCAGUGGGGAAUAUUGCACAAUGGGCGCAAGCCUGAUGCAGCCAUGCCGCGUGUGUGAAGAAGGCCUUCGGGUUGUAAAGCACUUUCAGCGGGGAGGAAGGCGGUGAG